Molecule: ribosomal RNA, 500 nt
Filed under: uncultured bacterium
Lineage: Bacteria
Description: partial 16S ribosomal RNA
Rfam family: Bacterial small subunit ribosomal RNA
Source: RNAcentral
AUUGAACGCUGGCGGAAUGCUUUACACAUGCAAGUCGAACGGCAGCACGGACUUCGGUCUGGUGGCGAGUGGCGAACGGGUGAGUAAUGUAUCGGAACGUGCCCAGUCGUGGGGGAUAACGUAGUGAAAAUUACGCUAAUACCGCAUACGAUCUAUGGAUGAAAGCGGGGGAUCGCAAGACCUCGCGCGAUUGGAGCGGCCGAAGUCAGAUUAAGUAGUUGGUGGGGUAAAGGCCCACCAAGCCAACGAUCUGUAGCUGGUCUGAGAGGACGACCAGCCACACUGGAACUGAGACACGGUCCAGACUCCUACGGGAGGCAGCAGUGGGGAAUUUUGGACAAUGGGCGAAAGCCUGAUCCAGCCAUUCCGCGUGCAGGAUGAAGGCCCUCGGGUUGUAAACUGCUUUUGUACAGAACGAAAAGGUUUCUACUAAUACUAGGAGCUCAUGACGGUACUGUAAGAAUAAGCACCGGCUAACUACGUGCCAGCCGCCGCCGUAA